RNAcentral lists this ribosomal RNA (253 nucleotides) under uncultured bacterium. RNAcentral describes it as "partial 16S ribosomal RNA". It matches the Rfam family "Bacterial small subunit ribosomal RNA", at positions 524 to 776 of the family's 1533-position model. The record is from RNAcentral.
UACGUAGGCAGCGAGCGUUGUUCGGAAUUACUGGGCGUAAAGAGUGUGUAGGCGGUGCUCCCAGUCUGUUGUGAAAUCUCCCGGCUUAACCGGGAGGGUGCAGCGGAAACUAGAGUGCUAGAGGGUGGGAGAGGUAAGCGGAAUUCCUGGUGUAGCGGUGAAAUGCGUAGAUAUCAGGAGGAACACCUGUGGUGUAGACAGCUUACUGGACCACUUCUGACGCUGAGACACGAAAGCGUGGGUAGCAAACAGG